This 582-nucleotide ribosomal RNA is filed under the name uncultured bacterium. RNAcentral describes it as "partial 16S ribosomal RNA". It matches the Rfam family "Bacterial small subunit ribosomal RNA", at positions 355 to 935 of the family's 1533-position model. The record is from RNAcentral.
UGGGGAAUUUUGGACAAUGGGCGCAAGCCUGAUCCAGCCAUGCUGCGUGCGGGAAGAAGGCCUUCGGGUUGUAAACCGCUUUUGUCAGGGAAGAAAUCUUCUGAGUUAAUACCUCGGGAGGAUGACGGUACCUGAAGAAUAAGCACCGGCUAACUACGUGCCAGCAGCCGCGGUAAUACGUAGGGUGCAAGCGUUAAUCGGAAUUACUGGGCGUAAAGCGUGCGCAGGCGGUUUUGUAAGACAGAGGUGAAAUCCCCGGGCUCAACCUGGGAACUGCCUUUGUGACUGCAAGGCUUGAGUGCGGCAGAGGGGGAAGGAAUUCCGCGUGUAGCAGUGAAAUGCGUAGAUAUGCGGAGGAACACCGAUGGCGAAGGCAAUCCCCUGGGCCUGCACUGACGCUCAUGCACGAAAGCGUGGGGAGCAAACAGGAUUAGAUACCCUGGUAGUCCACGCCCUAAACGAUGUCAACUGGUUGUUGGGAAGGUUCCUUCUCAGUAACGUAGCUAACGCGUGAAGUUGACCGCCUGGGGAGUACGGCCGCAAGGUUGAAACUUAAAUGAAUUGACGGGGUCAUAGCUGUUU